Molecule: ribosomal RNA, 357 nt
Filed under: uncultured bacterium
Lineage: Bacteria
Description: bacterial SSU rRNA
Rfam family: Bacterial small subunit ribosomal RNA
Source: RNAcentral
AACGAACGCUGGCGGCAUGCCUAACACAUGCAAGUCGAACGAGACCUUCGGGUCUAGUGGCGCACGGGUGCGUAACGCGUGGGAAUCUGCCCUUCGGGUUCGGGAAUAACUCACCGAAAGGUGUGCUAAUACCGGAUGAUGUCGCAAGACCAAAGAUUUAUCGCCCAAGGAUGAGCCCGCGUAGGAUUAGCUAGUUGGUGAGGUAAAAGACUCACCAAGGCGACGAUCCUUAGCUGGUCUGAGAGGAUGAUCAGCCACACUGGGACUGAGACACGGCCCAGACUCCUACGGGAGGCAGCAGUGGGGAAUAUUGGACAAUGGGCGCAAGCCUGAUCCAGCAAUGCCGCGUGAGUGAGG